CAACCUCAACUCAUAUGGGACUACCCCCUGAAUUUAAGCAUAUUAAUUAGGGGAGGAAAAGAAACUAACAAGGAUUUUCUUAGUAGCGGCGAGCGAAAAGAAAUCAGUUCAGCACUAAGUCACUUUGUCUAUAUGGCAAAUGUGAGAUGCAGUGUACGGAACAUCAACAUUCUAGUAUGAGAAGUUAACGAUUUAAGUCCUUCUUAAAUGAGGCCAUUUACCCAUAGAGGGUGCCAGGCCCGUAUAACGUUAAUGAUUACUAGAUGGUGUUUCCAAAGAGUCGUGUUGCUUGAUAGUGCAGCACUAAGUGGGUGGUAAACUCCAUCUAAAACUAAAUAUAACCAUGAGACCGAUAGUAAACAAGUACCGUGAGGGAAAGUUGAAAAGAACUCUGAAUAGAGAGUUAAAUAGUACGUGAAACUGCUUAGAGGUUAAGCCCGAUGAACCUGAAUAUCCGUUAUGGAAAAUCAUCAUAGAAU
This 479-nucleotide non-coding RNA is filed under the name Drosophila virilis. RNAcentral's name for it is "Eukaryotic large subunit ribosomal RNA". It matches the Rfam family "Eukaryotic large subunit ribosomal RNA", at positions 1 to 462 of the family's 3401-position model. The record is from Rfam by way of RNAcentral. Lineage: Eukaryota; Metazoa; Arthropoda; Insecta; Diptera; Drosophilidae.